Molecule: ribosomal RNA, 495 nt
Filed under: uncultured bacterium
Lineage: Bacteria
Description: partial 16S ribosomal RNA
Rfam family: Bacterial small subunit ribosomal RNA
Source: RNAcentral
GACGAACGCUGGCGGCGUGCCUAAUACAUGCAAGUCGAACGCUGAAGGAGGAGCUUGCUCUUCUGGAUGAGUUGCGAACGGGUGAGUAACGCGUAGGUAACCUGCCUGGUAGCGGGGGAUAACUAUUGGAAACGAUAGCUAAUACCGCAUAACAGUAGAUGUUGCAUGACAUUUACUUAAAAGGUGCAAUUGCAUCACUACCAGAUGGACCUGCGUUGUAUUAGCUAGUUGGUGGGGUAACGGCUCACCAAGGCGACGAUACAUAGCCGACCUGAGAGGGGGAUCGGCCACACUGGGACUGAGACACGGCCCAGACUCCUACGGGAGGCAGCAGUAGGGAAUCUUCGGCAAUGGACGGAAGUCUGACCGAGCAACGCCGCGUGAGUGAAGAAGGUUUUCGGAUCGUAAAGCUCUGUUGUAAGAGAAGAACGAGUGUGAGAGUGGAAAGUUCACACUGUGACGGUAGCUUACCAGAAAGGGACGGCUAACUACGUG